Molecule: long non-coding RNA, 561 nt
Organism: Sapajus apella (tufted capuchin)
Lineage: Eukaryota; Metazoa; Chordata; Mammalia; Primates; Cebidae
Exons: 3
Source: RefSeq, a predicted model, not a curated record
GCCUCCCAAAGUGCUGGGAUUAUAGGCGUGAGCCACCACGCCCGUCCAGUAUUUUUUUUUUUUUUUAAGACAACCUUCUAAGUUUGCCUCUGAAACUAUCCUGGGAGCAACUGUCCUCUGGGGAUUUAUGGUCUAGUGCAGUGGUUCUCACACUCUACUGCAUACCAGAAUCCCUGGAGGACUCAGGAGAGCACGGAGCCCUGGGCCUCACCCUAGAGUGUCUGAUUCAGUAGGUCUGGGCUGGGCAGAGAAUUUGCAUUUCUAACAAGCUCUCAGAUAAUGCUGAUGCUGUUGGUUUGGGCCUGAUCUAAUAGUUUAGCUGACACAUCAGUAAACACAAUUCAAAGAUUAAAUGUUGUAAAAUAAGUACAAGUAACAUGCAAUGGGAAAUCGGGUGUAGAAAAGUAAGGCAAAAGAUGAAUGAACAACUGAAGAUCGGAGAAGCCAUAGUGGAAGCGGGAAAGGUUAAGCAGGAUCUUAUAGCCUUGGCAGGUAGGGCAGGGCAUUUUGGAGAUGACACUCUCCUAUUGGGAGGGAGAGUGUAAAAUGUAUCUCAGAGUG